UGAUAAUUGCUUUUGGCCUGAUUUAACAGGUUUUUAAAUAAAAUUAUUGAAUUUGUAAUUUUAACUACAUAAUAGAUCUAAGAUUUCAUUUUGUAAUCUAGACAUUAUAAAAUGCAUGAUUGAUAUUGAUUUUGAUAUUGAAUAGGGGCUGAGAUUAUAAGGAAUUUUAGUUAAAAGACUAAAUUUCUAGAAAGCAUUUGUAUUAGUCCAUUUUCAUGCUGCUAAUAGACAUACUCAAGACUGGGUAAUUUAUGAAGAAAAAGAGGUUUAAUGAACUCACAGUUCCACGUGGCUGGGGAAGCCUCACAAUCAUGGCGGAAGGUGAAGGAGGAGCAAAGUCAUAUCUUACAUGGCGGCAGGCAAGAGAGAAUGAGAGCCAAAUGAAAGGGGAAACCCCUUAUAAAACUAUCGGAUCUUAUGAGACUUUAUUCACUACUGUGAGAACAGUAUGGGGGAAACUGCC
This 463-nucleotide long non-coding RNA is filed under the name Homo sapiens (human). RNAcentral describes it as "HSALNT0094854". The record is from RNAcentral. Lineage: Eukaryota; Metazoa; Chordata; Mammalia; Primates; Hominidae.